CCAGGAUAUUGCUGCAAAGGUAUGCUGGGGAGGGUGGAUUCUGGCUCCCACACUUUAGAGAGCUCUGCAAGACUUCCUCUUGUCUUAUUGACCAGAAUUAGGACACACGGCCAGUCCUAGCUGCGAAGAAAGCUUGGAAAUUGGAGGGUAAGAUUAUUAUAAGCACUUGGACCAGUCAUGAUCCAUGACCAGGAACUGGGCCCACUGCCACCCACACAAAGUCAUGGUUCCAUCAGCAAGAGAGAAGGGGGAAAUUAGGUUAAAGGCAUAUGGACUCAACAUGUCACCGGAAGGAAAACACCAGCUGGUCUUACAGCUCUUGAACGGGCAGCUCACCCAGAGACACCACGCUGCAGGGCUUCUCUGCACCAACGUUCUUUCAGGGCCUGUGGAGAAAAUAUGGACGUUAGCAGUCAGAAAACAUGCUCGGGACACAGCAUUCGUGGCCGAGCUUCCCACAGCAGUGUGUAUGAACACCGCAGCUCCUCAUGGAACAAUUCUGUCCUCACCAAGCAACAUGAGACAACAAGGAAACACUUUCUGCCCCAGAAAUGUCCUUCCAUCACUUCCAGUUAAAAAUCACAUUUCUCCAAGAUUCUACCCACUCCCAUACACCUCAGCCUGGCUAAGGAAAUGAUUGGAAACUUAAAUCUGAGAGAAAAAGCUGACAUUUUACGAUAACGGGGAAAAGUUAUCCUCAAAUACUGCCUGUGGUAUUAAAAAUGGAAUUCAGAUAAGCUUCUUUGGGCCGCUCUGAUAGACUGGUUUCAUUUUGCUGGAAGAAAUCCUGGGAAUACACCCUCACUCUCAUCUGCAGGGAACAGGGGAGGGCAAUGGAAACUGUUGAAUCUGUACCCAAAAGAAGUUUCAAAUCACAGAAAACCUCUCAG
Molecule: long non-coding RNA, 890 nt
Filed under: Equus caballus (horse)
Lineage: Eukaryota; Metazoa; Chordata; Mammalia; Perissodactyla; Equidae
Description: lncRNA (ENSECAG00000034443.3)
Source: RNAcentral